Molecule: ribosomal RNA, 448 nt
Filed under: uncultured bacterium
Lineage: Bacteria
Description: bacterial SSU rRNA
Rfam family: Bacterial small subunit ribosomal RNA
Source: RNAcentral
CCAGACUCCUACGGGAGGCAGCCGUGGGGACUCUUGGGCAAUGGCGGCCCCUCUUACCCAGCAAUGCCGCGUGCCUGACGAAGGUCUUCGGAUUGUAAAGUUCUUUCAUUGGGGACGACAAAAAUGACGGUACCCAAGGAAUAAGCCCCGGCUAACUACGUGCCAGCAGCCGCGGUAAUACGUAGGGGGCAAGCGUUGUUCGGAAUGACUGGGCGGAACGGGUGUGUAGGCGGUGUAGCAAGUUAGAAGUGAAAGACCUAGAGCGGAACGCAGGGUCGGCGGCGAAAACGGCGAGACUGGAGGGCAGUAGAGGAAAGGGGAAGGCCUAGGGGAGCGGUGGAAGGCGGAGAUAUGAGGAGGAACAUCAGGGGCGAAGGCGACGUUCGGGACGGUAACUGACGCUGAGGCACGAAAGGGGGGGGAGCAAACAGGAGUAGAGACCCGGGUA